UUGAUUCAAAGUUUUGAUUUAUUUCAUAAAGUUUAUGUUUUAUGAUUUUCAAAUGUUUAAAUGCAUUAGAUUUUUAUUUGAAAGGUGUAAGAGAUAUUGGUGGGUGUGAAAGGAUUAAUUUAAUCCUUUCCUUUCACACACACCACUUGCAUGCUUUAUGUCAAACUACAAAUCAACACACACAUCACUCUCUUUGGUCUCCAAAACCGGCCACCCUAUCAAGUGGGGUACUUUUGGGGCUUUUAUGCAAUUACAUAAAGUUUUGAUACUUUUGUGUAUUUGCACUUUGGCCCAAAAGUUUACGUUUUUACGUUAAGGUCCAAAAACGCUAAAGGACAAAUUGUUUUGAUCAUUUAAUGAAGUUUUUGCAUUGAUUAAAUUUUGGGUUCUAUUGUAAUUACAUGAAGUAGUGGACUUUUGUGUCUUUACAAAGUGACCCCAAAAGUUUUGCAAUAUAGCCCAAAAGUUGAGGUUAAUUGCUUUAUAGCCCAAAUAAGUUGUGGUUAUUGCAUGAUGGCCCAAAUUAGGUAGAGAACAAAAUUUUUUUGUCUCUUUAAAUGAGAAUUGGAUUUUCAUUUUGUUUAGCUCCAUUUAAAUCAAUUUUAUGGAUACAAAAACCAAAUGAAAAUGUUGCAUUCAAGUUUAAUUAGUUAAAGUGUUAAUUAAUUAAAGGGUGAUUAUGAACCUAAGCCUAAAAUAAUUGAGCUAUGUGAUAGGCCGUUUCAAAUUUGUUUGAACCAUGGGAAUGAGUAGAUUAGAUUUUGGUUGUAAUUUGAUUUGAUCAAAUGUUGUAAAAGGGCUUAAGCUCUUCUUUACUUUAAA
Molecule: long non-coding RNA, 822 nt
Filed under: Malus domestica (apple)
Lineage: Eukaryota; Viridiplantae; Streptophyta; Magnoliopsida; Rosales; Rosaceae
Description: long non-coding RNA (MDOM_LNC018720)
Source: RNAcentral